Molecule: long non-coding RNA, 286 nt
Organism: Aethina tumida (small hive beetle)
Lineage: Eukaryota; Metazoa; Arthropoda; Insecta; Coleoptera; Nitidulidae
Exons: 3
Source: RefSeq, a predicted model, not a curated record
GAAAUAUCUCCUAAGACAAUUGACGCGAAAACAGACGAAAAAGUCAAAUCUCCUUUAGACGAAAAGGUCAAGUCUUCUUCAGACGAAAAGCUCAUGUCACCUCAUAAAUCUCCAUCUAAAGACGUAAUAUCUCUACCACCAAAACCGAAAUCUCCAACCACAGUUUCCAAAAGUCCCGAGCCCUCAGAAAUAGACACUGAUAUCAUUAAAAAGUCUCCUAGCGAGAUAAAAUCUCCUGUGGAAUCUAAACCUACAUCCCCAACUUUGCCAUCUAAGGUUGCUAAAU